Molecule: non-coding RNA, 2659 nt
Organism: Vicugna pacos (alpaca)
Lineage: Eukaryota; Metazoa; Chordata; Mammalia; Artiodactyla; Camelidae
Source: RefSeq, a predicted model, not a curated record
UCUGGAAGAGAAGUGGGGUCUCUAGAUCCCUGGGUGGACAGAGAAGCGGGUACAGGGGUACAGAGCCCCUGGGAACCGCGGGUGGGAGAAGAGUCCCUUUUCUCUAGGAGCUACCAUCGAGGUGGCGAGGCGAACCAACAAGGAGAGCAGCGAUAACAGAGCCACGGGAAUACCGGCUGAGGAUGCCUUAAGGAGAAGCACCUGGAGCCAAGACACUGGGGAACAGCUUGUUCCAAUCAGAGACCGGAAGCAGUAUGGCUUACUUCCGGUCUCGGGGAGUAAGUGCUCAUGCUCGGGCCCUCGGGCUCUGCGGCUGCGGGCGGAGCUCCGGGAAGGGCGAGUGGGGCUGGCGCGGCUCCGGCGCCGUCGGCGGUCUCCUGUGGAGCGUGCGCGGCUCUGUCUCCAGGGGCGGCGGCGAAGUCAGCCCUCGCUUUGGCGCCGUCUUCACCGGCCCAGCAGGCGCUCGGCCCUGAGACGCGUUCCUCGUUGCUGAGGGGCCUCCCUGAAUGGCGUGUUCCAUUAUCCGGUGUCUUUGGAGGGUCGUUCCAGGCAGCAGGCGCCAAGCUGAGUGCCCGUCCGUCUCUAAGGUUCCUACUACCUGGAGCACAGCCGUCCUGACACCGACUCUCCCUACGCAGUGGUCAUCAAAUCACGCGCUUGUGGAGGCCGAGUGCUGCGGAGUUACUAGACUACUCUGAGGCCUAGCGAGGAAGCUGUGUGCAGCUGCUCCAGGAGAAGCUCAAACCCCCUGGGGAGCCUCUGCCCAGGUGGAGGAGACUUGCUCAUGCCACGCGCUUUGGGUCACCCCCAGGAGGUGCUCAGGAAACCAGGGGACCACCGCAUGUUGAUUUCCUGAAAGCAAGACUCCACCAGAGAGAUGCCGGUGCUGUUCUCUGCUCGCCUAGCACCUGGUCUACCAGCUGCCUCCCCCAUCGGGCCCAGCGUGGUGGAGACGGAAAGCCUUUCUUGGCAUUAUCUAAUUAUCCAUCAACAGCUUCAACCAUGGGCUUUCUAUCUGGGUUUCAGUCUAGGCUCUCCCCAUGAUUCCGUCCUUGACUUCCUGUAAAUUACUUGCUUUUCUGAGUCUCCAUUUCCACAUCUGUAACUCUGCACUCAUGCAUUGCUGUGAUAAGAAUAAAACACUACUGUUGAAUCCUUACAACAAUCCAAUUAGGCACGCUCUGUUCUUGUUCCCAUUUUAUAGAGUGAGACACUGAGACUUAGAGAGGUUAAGUGCAAGUGCCAGAGGCUCAGUUCAAGUUACCCACACUGGGUGUGUCUGACCUUAGAACCAACACAGUAGGCCACUACAAUGUGCAGGGCAUCCGUUGCUUUUUGAAUAUUCGCUUUGUGCCAUUCCGCUUUUACCUGAGACCUACACUAGUCCCUGUUUCUGCUAACCUAACUAAAAGAAAUCCAAAGAGGAUUUUCACUUUUAUGAAAAAAGCUAACACCGAUGCCUUCAUUUACACACCUGGUUUAAGAAUCAUAGCACUAGUGUACUGUGAGACACAUAUCACAUCUGAUCUGAUCUUGGAUCUUUUAUAAAUAUGUCCCAUUCAUUCGUUCGUUUGUUCCUUCAUUCAGUAUGAUUUAGUAGCCUCCAUUAUACCUCAGGUGCACUCCCAGGAAUGCUUCUGCUACCUAACAACCUUCCUAGGGGCAGGCAACCAUGUGUUGUAGUAAUACAUAUUGGUACUUUUCUGCCCUGACAAUGACAUGAAUACAGAAGAUUCUCAGUAAACAGGGACUGAAAAAUGCUAUGUGUCAAAACUUUGGGGAACACCUAGGAUACACUGACAACGUUUGACAUCACAGUUCAUUUUAACAGCUAACACGAUAUUCAGCGUAAACACCAUGAGGUUGGCAUUUUCUCUCUGAUGCUGGGGAUCUAAAUUUCACUUUCAAUUUAAAAUGAACUUUGUAUCAGAAACCUUCCAUAAUUUCAUAUCCUCUUGUUCCACCAUGACAACUGCACUGAAGCAGUAACUGCAUCUUUAUAAGUCUGUCCGUCCCAUCAUGUUCAGCCCAACACUGGGCUCACAUUUAUGGUCCCAUUCCUUGCUUUGUCUUAUCUAACCAUCUUUUUUCCAAAGUGUGAUGAUCCCAUGUUUCUCAGAUGUAACUCUUCAAAUGACAAUUUCACUACAUUACAGGGGUUUUCUCACGACACCAGAAUUUCAAGAUGAACUAGUCGAACCCCAGGAUUAAGGAUGACCAUCCAUGAGAUAAAUCCUAUUUAAAAAUCUUAUGUUCAGGUUAAAGAUAAAAGGGAGGAUAAAAGCAAGUAUCUUUGUAAGCCUCCUGGGGGCGGGCAUUCCCCUGCCCUCUGCUGCCGCUGGGCUGUGCUUGCUGAUACAGGACGCCGGCAGGUGCUUGGAGUAAUUCAGCAGAAAAAGAGACCCACACGGAUGGCGCUGGAAGCUGCCUGAGUGGACAGCAGAUCUCACAACUCAGUUGUCGAUGCCACCUACAGAGCUGUCAAAAUACAAUUACGUGAACCGCAAAGGGGGCUUGAAUAAGCCAAUAGACUUAAGCGUGUGUCAAUUACACACGAGAGCGAGUCCCCAUUCCCUGCUUCAUCCCCCAGUGCUGGGCAAGCACUGAAGGUGGCUGACUUCAUGAAAGGAAGUAAGAAAUAAAACCACGAGAAACCUGU